This 380-nucleotide ribosomal RNA is filed under the name uncultured eukaryote. RNAcentral describes it as "partial 18S ribosomal RNA". It matches the Rfam family "Eukaryotic small subunit ribosomal RNA", at positions 592 to 976 of the family's 1831-position model. The record is from RNAcentral.
CAAUAGCGUAUAUUAAAGUUGUUGCGGUUAAAAAGCUCGUAGUUGGAUUUCUGCUGAGAACGACCGGUCCGCCCUCUGGGUGUGUAUCUGGCUCUUUCUUGGCAUCUUCUUGGUGAACGUUGCUGCACUUGACUGUGUGGAGCGCUACCCAGGACUUUUACUUUGAGGAAAUUAGAGUGUUUCAAGCAGGCAUACGCCUUGAAUACAUUAGCAUGGAAUAAUAAGAUAGGACCUCGGUUCUAUUUUGUUGGUUUCUAGAGCUGAGGUAAUGAUUAAUAGGGAUAGUUGGGGGCAUUCGUAUUUAACUGUCAGAGGUGAAAUUCUUGGAUUUGUUUAAGACGGACUACUGCGAAAGCAUUUGCCAAGGAUGUUUUCAUUGA